Molecule: ribosomal RNA, 261 nt
Filed under: uncultured bacterium
Lineage: Bacteria
Description: partial 16S ribosomal RNA
Rfam family: Bacterial small subunit ribosomal RNA
Source: RNAcentral
UACGAAGGGGGCUAGCGUUGCUCGGAAUUACUGGGCGUAAAGCGCACGUAGGCGGAUUGUUAAGUCGGGGGUGAAAUCCUGGAGCUCAACUCCAGAACUGCCUUCGAUACUGGCGAUCUCGAGUUCGGGAGAGGUGAGUGGAACUGCGAGUGUAGAGGUGAAAUUCGUAGAUAUUCGCAAGAACACCAGUGGCGAAGGCGGCUCACUGGCCCGAUACUGACGCUGAGGUGCGAAAGCGUGGGAGCAACAGGGAUAAGAAAC